RNAcentral lists this transfer RNA (74 nucleotides) under [Candidatus Thermochlorobacteriaceae] bacterium GBChlB. RNAcentral's name for it is "Candidatus Thermochlorobacteriaceae bacterium GBChlB tRNA-Val". It matches the Rfam family "tRNA". Rfam says of the family: Transfer RNA (tRNA) molecules are approximately 80 nucleotides in length. Their secondary structure includes four short double-helical elements and three loops (D, anti-codon, and T loops). Further hydrogen bonds mediate the characteristic L-shaped molecular structure. tRNAs have two regions of fundamental functional importance: the anti-codon, which is responsible for specific mRNA codon recognition, and the 3' end, to which the tRNAs corresponding amino acid is attached (by aminoacyl-tRNA synthetases). tRNAs cope with the degeneracy of the genetic code in two manners: having more than one tRNA (with a specific anti-codon) for a particular amino acid; and 'wobble' base-pairing, i.e. permitting non-standard base-pairing at the 3rd anti-codon position. The record is from RNAcentral. Lineage: Bacteria; Pseudomonadati; Chlorobiota; Chlorobiia; Chlorobiales; Chloroherpetonaceae.
GCGCGGUUAGCUCAGUUGGUUAGAGCGCCACCUUGACACGGUGGAGGUCACAAGUUCGAAUCUUGUAUCGCGCA